This 270-nucleotide ribosomal RNA is filed under the name uncultured archaeon. RNAcentral describes it as "partial 16S ribosomal RNA". It matches the Rfam family "Archaeal small subunit ribosomal RNA", at positions 477 to 747 of the family's 1478-position model. The record is from RNAcentral.
CAGCACCUCAAGUGGUCAGGAUGAUUAUUGGGCCUAAAGCAUCCGUAGCCGGCGCUGUAAGUUUUCGGUUAAGUCUGUACGCUCAACGUACAGGCUGCCGGGAAUACUGCAGCGCUAGGGAGUGGGAGAGGUAGACGGUACUCGGUAGGAAGGGGUAAAAUCCUUUGAUCUAUUGAUGACCACCUGUGGCGAAGGCGGUCUACCAGAACACGUCCGACGGUGAGGGACGAAGGCCAGGGGAGCAAACCGGAUUAGAUACCCGAGUAGUCC